UACGGAGGGUGCAAGCGUUAUCCGGAUUUACUGGGUUUAAAGGGUGCGUAGGCGGACUUUUAAGUCAGUGGUGAAAUCCCCGAGCUUAACUCGGAAACUGCCAUUGAUACUAUUAGUCUUGAAUUCGGUCGAGGUUGGCGGAAUGUGUCGUGUAGCGGUGAAAUGCUUAGAUAUGACACAGAACACCGAUUGCGAAGGCAGCUAGCUAGACCGCCAUUGACGCUGAGGCACGAAAGCGUGGGGAUCAAACAGG
Molecule: ribosomal RNA, 253 nt
Filed under: uncultured bacterium
Lineage: Bacteria
Description: partial 16S ribosomal RNA
Rfam family: Bacterial small subunit ribosomal RNA
Source: RNAcentral